RNAcentral lists this long non-coding RNA (463 nucleotides) under Chrysolophus pictus (golden pheasant). RNAcentral describes it as "lncRNA (ENSCPIG00010006547.1)". The record is from RNAcentral. Lineage: Eukaryota; Metazoa; Chordata; Aves; Galliformes; Phasianidae.
GUGAGCAGCUUCUGGUGCCCACCCAGGAUGGGAUGGAGCCAUUUCCCACAGAGGUGCCAACCAUGCAGUGCACCCAUCCAUGGGACAGGGUGAGGAGCUCAUCCUCUUCCUCUUCUUCCUCCUCCCUGGAGCCCUACUGUGGUGAGAACGCAGCCUCCACAGCACCCCCAGCUGCGCCCUGUGAGCCCAUCCCAGUGCUCAACAUGCCGUGGGUAUCACCACCCCCAGCAGACCCCGACCAUGCUGACAGCUCCAGCACCUCCUCAGGGGAGUGGUACGAGAACGUGCAGGGUGCUGAGACAUACGGGGAUCCAUCCCUAAAGGAACACACACAGGACCCCAGCUUCUCUGAGGGGAGUGACUACGAUGACAUCCAGGGCUCUGGCUGCUGAGAGUGGGAACAGGCAGCGGGGAGGGGACUCAUCCAUAACACAGCCGUGGGCCAUUAAAAGCUUUUAGCCCC